Molecule: transfer RNA, 70 nt
Filed under: Chalcides ocellatus
Lineage: Eukaryota; Metazoa; Chordata; Lepidosauria; Squamata; Scincidae
Description: tRNA-Ile
Rfam family: tRNA
About the family: Transfer RNA (tRNA) molecules are approximately 80 nucleotides in length. Their secondary structure includes four short double-helical elements and three loops (D, anti-codon, and T loops).
Source: RNAcentral
GGAAAUAUGCCUGAACUUUAAGGGCUACUUUGAUAGAGUAUACUACAGGGGUUAAAAUCCCCUUAUUUCC